This 478-nucleotide ribosomal RNA is filed under the name uncultured bacterium. RNAcentral describes it as "SSU rRNA". It matches the Rfam family "Bacterial small subunit ribosomal RNA", at positions 26 to 518 of the family's 1533-position model. The record is from RNAcentral.
AGAAUCAACGCUGGCGGCGUGCCUAACACAUGCAAGUCGAACGAGAAAGUGGGAGCAAUCCCACGAGUAAAGUGGCGCACGGGUGAGUAACACGUGACUAACCUACCCUUGAGUGGGGGAUAACCUAGGGAAACCUGGGCUAAUACCGCAUAAUACCUACGGGUCAAAGGAGCAAUUCGCUUAAGGAGGGGGUCGCGGCAGAUUAGUUAGUUGGCGGGGUAAUGGCCCACCAAGACAGUGAUCUGUAUCCGGCCCUGAGACGGGGCGUCGACCGGAACGGACCGACCUAGGUAAACGUGAAACACGGUCCAGACUCCUACGGGAGGCAGCAGUGGGGAAUUUUGCGCAAUGGGGGAAACCCUGACGCAGCAACGCCGCGUGGAGGAUGAAGCCCCUUGGGGCGUAAACUCCUUUCGAUCGGGAAGAUAAUGACGGUACCGGAAGAAGAAGCCCCGGCUAACUUCGUGCCAGCAGCCGC